This 768-nucleotide ribosomal RNA is filed under the name Triticum aestivum (bread wheat). RNAcentral describes it as "partial small subunit ribosomal RNA". Lineage: Eukaryota; Viridiplantae; Streptophyta; Magnoliopsida; Poales; Poaceae. The record is from RNAcentral.
AUGCAUGCAUUCCGUGUGUUGGUUAAACAAUGUGGUUUCAUAGAUCUCGGGUACAGUGGUCCAGCGUAUACAUGGACCAAUAGGCGCUACACUUCAAAGCCAACUCUUGAGUGCCUUGAUCGAUGCCUUGCUAAUGCAGAUUGGUGUAAUAUCUUCCCUAAUUCCAAUGUUUUUAAUCUGCCUAUAAUUUUUAGUGAUCAUGCUCCUAUUCUUUUAUCCACUGAUGGCCAAUAUCGGAAGCCUAAAAGGAACUUCAAGUUUGAAAAUUGGUGGCUUAUGGAAAAUGACUUCCAUGUUCAUGCUAAGAAUGUUUGGUCUAGCUCCAAAAAUAAGUUGUUCCACAAUAGGAUUACUAACCUUGCAGGGGCUUUAAGGAAGUGGUGCAGAAAGAAGAAACCGAUUCAACAAGAGCUGGAUUAUUUAGGUGAGCAAAUAAGAAAUAUACAAAUGCAGCCGACUCAGGUACAUGAUUUUCCUUUAGAAGCCUCUCUUGUGAGUAGAUAUGAGCAAAAUAUGGUCAAGCUUACUGAAUACUACCAACAGAGAGCCAAAAAGCAUUGGGCUAUUAAUGGGGAUCGUAAUACUACAUUUUUCCAUCACGCUGUCCUCAAAAGAAGAAGAAAGAAUAGGAUAGCUUCCAUAAAAGAUGACAACAAUGUGGUGCAUGUUGAACCAGAUGCUAUUGCCAAUGUUUUUAUCCAAUAUUUCAAAAAUCUCUUUUCCUCCUCUAAUAAUAAUCAUGGCAGACCUUACAUACAUUCUGGGUGA